UUUCCGGUUGAUCCUGCCGGACCUGACUGCUAUCGGAUUGAUACUAAGCCAUGCGAGUCAUUGUAGUAAUACAAGGCAGACGGCUCAGUAACGCGUAGUCAACCUAACCUAUGGACGGGAAUAACCUCGGGAAACUGAGUAUAAUGCCCGAUAGAACAUUAUGCCUGGAAUGGUUUAUGUUCCAAAUGAUUUAUCGCCGUAGGAUGGGACUGCGGCCUAUCAGUUUGUUGGUGAGGUAAUGGCCCACCAAGACUAUUACAGGUACGGGCUCUGAGAGGAGUAGCCCGGAGAUGGGUACUGAGACACGGACCCAGGCCCUAUGGGGCGCAGCAGGCGAGAAAACUUUGCAAUGUGCGAAAGCACGACAAGGUUAAUCCGAGUGGUUUGUGCUAAACGAACCUUUUGUUAGUCCUAGAAACACUAACGAAUAAGGGGUGGGCAAGUUCUGGUGUCAGCCGCCGCGGUAAAACCAGCACCUCAAGUGGUCAGGAUGAUUAUUGGGCCUAAAGCAUCCGUAGCCGGCUCUGUAAGUUUUCGGUUAAAUCUGUACGCUCAACGUACAGGCUGCCGGGAAUACUGCAGAGCUAGGGAGUGGGAGAGGUAGACGGUACUCGGGAGGAAGGGGUAAAAUCCUUUGAUCUUUCGAUGACCACCUGUGGCGAAGGCGGUCUACCAGAACACGUCCGACGGUGAGGGACGAAAGCUGGGGGAGCGAACCGGAUUAGAUACCCGGGUAGUCCCAGCCGUAAACGAUGCGAGCUAGGUGUUGGAAUGGCUACGUGCCAUUUCAGUGCCGCAGGGAAGCCAUUAAGCUCGCCGCCUGGGGAGUACGGCCGCAAGGCUGAAACUUAAAGGAAUUGGCGGGGGAGCACCACAAGGCGUGAAGCUUGCGGUUCAAUUGGAUUCAACGCCGGG
RNAcentral lists this ribosomal RNA (915 nucleotides) under uncultured archaeon. RNAcentral's name for it is "bacterial SSU rRNA". It matches the Rfam family "Archaeal small subunit ribosomal RNA", at positions 1 to 922 of the family's 1478-position model. The record is from RNAcentral.